GGUUUAAUUCGAUGCAACGCGAAUAACCUUACCUGGCCUUGACAUCCACGGAACCCUGCAGAGAUGCGGGGUGCCUUCGGGAACCGUGAGACAGGUGCUGCAUGGCUGUCGUCAGCUCGUGUCGUGAGAUGUUGGGUUAAGUCCCGCAACGAGCGCAACCCUUGUCCCUAGUUGCCAGCAUUCAGUUGGGCACUCCAGGGAGACCGCCGGUGACAAACCGGAC
This 223-nucleotide ribosomal RNA is filed under the name uncultured bacterium. Its description in RNAcentral is "partial 16S ribosomal RNA". It matches the Rfam family "Bacterial small subunit ribosomal RNA", at positions 943 to 1168 of the family's 1533-position model. The record is from RNAcentral.